Molecule: long non-coding RNA, 2066 nt
Organism: Numida meleagris (helmeted guineafowl)
Lineage: Eukaryota; Metazoa; Chordata; Aves; Galliformes; Numididae
Exons: 2
Source: RefSeq, a predicted model, not a curated record
UCCAGUGCUCCCCAUUUCCCUGUCCAUCCCGUACAGUUCCCCCUCCCAUUCUCCCUGCUGUCCUUCUGGGACCCCGCAUAACACUGAGCCUCCUCCCUUCCCCUUUUUGAUACAGCUGAACCCAACAGGAUUUCCAAGGCCAAUGAGGUCCAGGUGGCACCCAGUGAUAACAAGAGGCUGACCUGCACUGAGCUGCAAGCUGCGAUCCCCAGCUUCUGCUGCCCUGGGGCCAGCACGGUUCCCCAGCACCCGGUUAUCUGCCCUGGAGUGGUCUCUGGGGGACCCCUUUGUUGUCCCCCACACCGGCUGCGUCAUUUCUGGAGUGCCCCUAUGGGGACAAACACCAGGUUCCCAGCUUGGGGCUCCUUGACGCCAUCUGCUCCCCCCAUCCCACUAAUCCCCCCCAAAGUGACAUCCCCAAAUUCCUACUGCUGUACACCAAAUCGUCCCUAAUCCCACCCAGUCCCUAAACAAUCAUCGCUGCUGUUGAAAUCCUUCCUUAUCACCCCUGAAUAGCUUAACACCCCUGGACACCCUCAAAUCCCCCCAGUCCACCCCCCAAACCCCACCAGCACUCUUGUAGGACCCUCACAUCUCCCAAAAUCUGCACCAAACUCCACCCCCCGCCCUAAGGAACCCCUCGAUUGCUCCCAACCCACCACCAAAGCCCCCAUAAGACCAAGGUGAUCUGUAACAACAGGUGUGCACCACCCCACAUGUUCAAAUUCCAGGUGUGUUCAGACAGGGGUGUGCACAAACACGUGUGCAUUGUGUGGGCACAUGCACUGCAAGGCUGCAAAGCGCAGGUGUGUUGUGUGUUCAUCAUCACACGUGCACUUCAUUCCUACACCACUGCAGGUGCUCACGUGCAUUCUGUGUGUGCAUUGUAACAUGUGCACAAUAGAUGUACACAGAUGUGGACAUCAUGCUUUAUGCUCUGGCUCCGUGUGUGCACAAUGUAACCUGUGUACACCAAUACACGUCCCCGAUCCUGCAAACAUGCAUCCUUAGCACAUGCUCCGUGUCUGUACGGGUGUCACUGCAUCCCCAGCAGGUUCCUGAUGCUGCCCCAGUGGGGAUGGCAGAGGACAGGCGUGUGGCAAGGGGACAGCACAGGGGGAUAUGAGUGGCUGCAGGGACAAGAGGGCUGUGAGUGCACACUGCUGCCUCAUGUCCAUCUUCUAAUCAAUCAGAACCCCCACAUCCUUCUCUGCAGCGCUGCUCUCAGGGAGUUCUUCUCCCAGUCUGUACUCAGCCCCGGCAUUGCCCCAACCCGAGGGCAGCACCCUGUACUCAGCAUCGUUGAAUCUCAGGAGGUUCAGCAGUCCACAGAACCCCUGGGAAUCUGUCCUCAAGGACAGGGAGCAGAGCAGAGCUGGCACAUCUGGAAGGACGCUUUCCUCAGGGCACAAGAGCUCUCCAUGCCCAGGUGCAGGCAGUCAGGAAAGGAAGGCAAGAGAGCGUCACGGCUGAGCUGGGACCUGCUGGUCCAAGUGGAGAGCAAGAAGCACAUGCACAGGCAGUGGCAGCAGGGACAGGAGCCUGGCAGGAGGACAGGGAUUGUGCUGGGCUGUGUGGGGAUGAGGUCAGGAAGGCCAAGGCCCAACUGUAACUGGACUUGGCCAGGGGAGCAAAGAAGAACAAGAAAGGCUUUGACAGGCCUGUAUACCUGAGAAGGAAAGUCCAGGAGGACGUACCCCCCCAAGUGAGCAAUGCAGGCAGGCUGGUAACAACGGACAAGGAGAAGGCUGACUCCUCAAUGUGGUAUAGGGGUUCCGGACACAGCCUCUGUGUGUCAGUAGAUUCAGCCAGACUGGAAAAUGCUGGCUGGCAUUCUGAGACCAAGGCAAGGUCCAUCCCUUGUUCCUAUCCUCUGAAUUUAGACCACAGAAAUCUGGGCUGGAAAUCUUUCCCAUCCAGCACUGGGAUGGUGCCCAUGGUUGUGAGCCCAAGCCAUUUGCGGUGGCGAAGGGCACAACCUGCACCUUUGCAGCUGCUCAGGAACAGGGGAGCAGCCCAGCACCGGCAUUUCCCUGCCAGCCAUGGCUUGACCCUGUUCGCACCUC